UACGUAGGGUGCAAGCGUUAAUCGGAAUUACUGGGCGUAAAGCGUGCGCAGGCGGCUUUGCAAGUCGGGUGUGAAAUCCCCAGGCUCAACCUGGGAACUGCAUUCGAGACUGCAUUGCUAGAGUAUGGGAGAGGGAAGUGGAAUUUCAGGUGUAGCGGUGAAAUGCGUAGAUAUCUGAAGGAACAUCAGUGGCGAAAGCGACUUCCUGGACCAAUACUGACGCUCAUGUGCGAAAGCGUGGGGAGCAAACAGG
This 253-nucleotide ribosomal RNA is filed under the name uncultured bacterium. Its description in RNAcentral is "partial 16S ribosomal RNA". It matches the Rfam family "Bacterial small subunit ribosomal RNA", at positions 524 to 776 of the family's 1533-position model. The record is from RNAcentral.